UGGGGAAUAUUGCACAAUGGGCGCAAGCCUGAUGCAGCCAUGCCGCGUGUAUGAAGAAGGCCUUCGGGUUGUAAAGUACUUUCAGCGGGGAGGAAGGCGAUAAGGUUAAUAACCUUGUCGAUUGACGUUACCCGCAGAAGAAGCACCGGCUAACUCCGUGCCAGCAGCCGCGGUAAUACGGAGGGUGCAAGCGUUAAUCGGAAUUACUGGGCGUAAAGCGCACGCAGGCGGUAUGUCAAGUCGGAUGUGAAAUCCCCGGGCUCAACCUGGGAACUGCAUGCGAAACUGGCAGGCUAGAGUCUUGUAGAGGGGGGUAGAAUUCCAGGUGUAGCGGUGAAAUGCGUAGAGAUCUGGAGGAAUACCGGUGGCGAAGGCGGCCCCCUGGACAAAGACUGACGCUCAGGUGCGAAAGCGUGGGGAGCAAACA
Molecule: ribosomal RNA, 427 nt
Filed under: uncultured bacterium
Lineage: Bacteria
Description: partial 16S ribosomal RNA
Rfam family: Bacterial small subunit ribosomal RNA
Source: RNAcentral